GGGGCUGACUGGAUUUGACUGCAAGCGCGUUUUGUAGUAAGCAUGUCGAGCAUUGUAUUUUAGCUCGUAAAUAUCAAAAUUCAACUUUUUUAAUUGGCGAGAACAAUUACGCUUUAGCUGCCUAAUUUAUAUAAUUACGUAAGCUUUUGUCUCUUUUAUAGGACCUUCUGAUUCCUAUAGAUUAUGAGGCAUAAUAAAUUUCAGGAUAGUUAGUUUAUUGCUUUUAUAAACUAGCGAAACUUUAAAAAGCUAAGGAUUAGGUUUGGGUGCUUGUUUCCUGCCUAGUUUCGAAAAAUAAAAUAAGAUAAACAUGUAGAAAAUUAUAUCAUUCCUUGUUUGGACGGGGGUUCGAUACCCCCCAGCUCCACCA
RNAcentral lists this transfer-messenger RNA (370 nucleotides) under Flavobacteriales. Its description in RNAcentral is "UWMA-0277 sp012960805 Standard tmRNA". It matches the Rfam family "transfer-messenger RNA". Rfam says of the family: Bacterial tmRNA, also known as 10Sa RNA or SsrA, is named for its dual tRNA and mRNA-like properties. The record is from RNAcentral. Lineage: Bacteria; Pseudomonadati; Bacteroidota; Flavobacteriia. RNAcentral also lists the same sequence under 2 other names.